Molecule: long non-coding RNA, 1257 nt
Organism: Musa acuminata AAA Group (dessert banana)
Lineage: Eukaryota; Viridiplantae; Streptophyta; Magnoliopsida; Zingiberales; Musaceae
Exons: 6
Source: RefSeq, a predicted model, not a curated record
UAAUAUGUGAGACUAAAAAGAAUAAAAAUAUGAACCUUAAUAUAGAAAAUGAAAAAAUGUCCCUAGAAUCUAAGGGAUGAGAAAGUUGAUGGCAGGAAGCUUCAGACACACUUAUAUCAACUAGAGUUUCUUAAGUGUAUCAUUUUAAGAUACUAAUGCUAAGUAGAAUUUUCAUAUCUCUAUUCUAAUGGUCAAGAUAAUUAAAUCUAAAUGACAUGUCUAACUUAGAUUUAGAUGGACAUUUGAAAUAUAAUUGAUCUCAAAGGGAUAUUAUUGUAAGUUCACCCACAAAAAAGCACAAAUUUUGGGUACAUUUCAUUUUUUAUGCCUCUCGAGCUCACGAAGAACAAGGAGAGCUACCAACGGAGACUUGGCGCAGUGGUGGCGGCGGCAAGUGAGGGAUCGAGGAAAUAACUGGAAGCAACGAGGGUUACAGAGACGGCAGGUGGAUCCGCGCACACUAUUCGAGGCCGUGCAAGAUGAAGCGGAGGGUCCUCGUCGCGCUCCUCGCCCUCGCCGUCGUUCUUCUCGUCUUCUCCGUCGUUCACAAGGAGGUAGGAUUGUUAUUGGACUCUAUGGAGAAGUAGCGCCAAAAAUUGUUGUGGAUAGUGCAGAAAAUUUUAAAGCUCUCUGCACAGAGGUAAAAAGGGCAACAGAAUUGGUGUAAGAAAUUAUCACUACAAGGGUACAAAAUUUCAUCGCGUAGUUUCCGGUUUUAUGAUACAAGGUGGCGAUAUCACUAACAGUAAUGGCAGGAGCAGUGAAUCUAUCAUGGUGGCACCUUUCCUGAUGAGAACUUCACCAUAAAGCAUUCACGUGCAGGAAUUGUUUCAAUGGUGAACAGGGGGGCCUGAUACCAAUGGAUCCCCGUUCUUCAUCACCACAGUUAAGGCUAGCUGAUGGGGAGCAUGUUGCCUUUGGAAGGGUUAUUCAAGGUACGGAUACGUUCUUUGCAACUGAUGGAGGAGCAGGAACAUACAUACAAUGGGAAGCCGAGGAAGAAGGUUGUCAUCGUCGACACAGGAGAGAUACCAAAGCACCGAUGGGAUGAAGAAAUCAGCCGCUUUUGCUUCCUUGCCACCCCAUGCUGUUGCUGCAAGAGAAGUAGGAGUUUGUGGUUCUUGAGGGCUAAGGCUACACCACCACAUUGCUCGUGUAAACCUUGUUAAUGUGCCUUUGAAGUCAUCACUUAACCAAAUCCGGUCUUAACCCUUUCGCUUCACUUGGUUGCCUAUAGAAAUUUGAGCUUCACAAAAA